GAUUGAUGGUGCUUGCACCUGAUUGACGAUGGAUUACCAGUGAGUGGCGGACGGGUGAGUAACACGUAGGUAACCUGCCCCGGAGCGGGGGAUAACAUUUGGAAACAGAUGCUAAUACCGCAUAACAACAAAAGCCACAUGGCUUUUGUUUGAAAGAUGGCUUUGGCUAUCACUCUGGGAUGGACCUGCGGUGCAUUAGCUAGUUGGUAAGGUAACGGCUUACCAAGGCGAUGAUGCAUAGCCAAGUUGAGAGACUGAUCGGCCACAAUGGAACUGAGACACGGUCCAUACUCCUACGGGAGGCAGCAGUAGGGAAUCUUCCACAAUGGGCGCAAGCCUGAUGGAGCAACACCGCGUGAGUGAAGAAGGGUUUCGGCUCGUAAAGCUCUGUUGUUGGAGAAGAACGUGCGUGAGAGUAACUGUUCACGCAGUGACGGUAUCCAACCAGAAAGUCACGGCUAACUACGUGCCAGCAGCCGCGGUAAUACGUAGGUGGCAAGCGUUAUCCGGAUUUAUUGGGCGUAAAGCGAGCGCAGGCGGUUGCUUAGGUCUGAUGUGAAAGCCUUCGGCUUAACCGAAGAAGUGCAUCGGAAACCGGGCGACUUGAGUGCAGAAGAGGACAGUGGAACUCCAUGUGUAGCGGUGGAAUGCGUAGAUAUAUGGAAGAACACCAGUGGCGAAGGCGGCUGUCUGGUCUGCAACUGACGCUGAGGCUCGAAAGCAUGGGUAGCGAACAGGAUUAGAUACCCUGGUAGUCCAUGCCGUAAACGAUGAGUGCUAGGUGUUGGAGGGUUUCCGCCCUUCAGUGCCGGAGCUAACGCAUUAAGCACUCCGCCUGGGGAGUACGACCGCAAGGUUGAAACUCAAAGGAAUUGACGGGGGCCCGCACAAGCGGUGGAGCAUGUGGUUUAAUUCGAAGCUACGCGAAGAACCUUACCAGGUCUUGACAUCUUGCGCUAACCUUAGAGAUAAGGCGUUCCCUUCGGGGACGCAAUGACAGGUGGUGCAUGGUCGUCGUCAGCUCGUGUCGUGAGAUGUUGGGUUAAGUCCCGCAACGAGCGCAACCCUUGUUACUAGUUGCCAGCAUUAAGUUGGGCACUCUAGUGAGACUGCCGGUGACAAACCGGAGGAAGGUGGGGACGACGUCAGAUCAUCAUGCCCCUUAUGACCUGGGCUACACACGUGCUACAAUGGACGGUACAACGAGUCGCAAGCUCGCGAGAGUAAGCUAAUCUCUUAAAGCCGUUCUCAGUUCGGACUGUAGGCUGCAACUCGCCUACACGAAGUCGGAAUCGCUAGUAAUCGCGGAUCAGCAUGCCGCGGUGAAUACGUUCCCGGGCCUUGUACACACCGCCCGUCACACCAUGGGAGUUUGUAACGCCCAAAGUCGGUGGCC
RNAcentral lists this ribosomal RNA (1396 nucleotides) under Limosilactobacillus reuteri. RNAcentral describes it as "bacterial SSU rRNA". It matches the Rfam family "Bacterial small subunit ribosomal RNA", at positions 68 to 1435 of the family's 1533-position model. The record is from RNAcentral. Lineage: Bacteria; Bacillati; Bacillota; Bacilli; Lactobacillales; Lactobacillaceae.